Molecule: non-coding RNA, 122 nt
Filed under: Palpitomonas bilix
Lineage: Eukaryota
Source: RNAcentral
AAGGAAAGGAAAGGGAAAGAAGCAAGCAUGUAUGCAAGAAAGAAAAAGGACCAAAGAAGGAUGUUGGGUAUCCUUUUUUUUUGGGGGUUUGUUGUUGGGAAGACCUUUUCCUGCUUCUUUUU